GCUGUUCAAUUUCCCCGUCGGACAUCCUGCAACCGCCGAUCUCGCGAUUGUUAGUUUCCCUUUUUCCCGAGAAGGUAUCGGGUGCACCGGUGCUUGUGGUGCUACCGGUGCACCAAACUGGCUCCUAAGGCGUUAGACUGCGGCCAGAGCUAGUGCCCUCACAAACUAUGGCUGGGUCGAUGUUGCCAGUCGUAUUUUCGCUCCUUCGAGGUUUGAACUUUCACCAAACAUCAUCUUGCUUCUGGUGUGCCAUCACGUACAGAGAGGAAAUCAUCUAAGUCCAAGUCUUGUCUUCAGCACGUUUACUGACUCAACCAAGGAGAUCAGAGAGAUAUAAACAUCCAUUAUCAACAAUAUGCAAUUGUCAAUUACAUUGGUGCAGCUAUGGAACGAGUGGGAAAUCAGGUUGCUUGUGCUUCUCAGUUUUACACUGCAACUAUUCCUCUUCUUCACAGGGGGGCGUAGGAGACGAAGCAGUAACAAAUUGCUAAGAUUCUCUAUUUGGUUGGCUUACUUGGGGGCAGACAUGAUUGCAUUUUAUACUCUUGGUCAGAUCUCUCGACUUGGAGAUUCUAUCAAUAGUAGGGAUCCGUUUACAGGGACCAUGUCUUUGGCAUUCUUUUGGGCACCUUUCCUUCUUGUUCAUCUUGGCGGACAAGACACUAUUACUGCCUUUUCAUCUGAGGAUAACAAUUUGUGGCUAAGGCAUUUUCUGAAUCUUUUAGUUGAAGUCAGCCUUGCAUUAUAUGUCUUUUGGAAAUCAAUGGGGAACAACAACCAGCUUUUAGUUCCAGCCAUGUUUGUCUUUGUUUCUGGAAUAAUUAAGUACUGGGAGAGGAUAUGGGCUCUCAAGUAUGGGAGUAAGACUGACCUUAAUAGCACCACUAGUAACUAUGAAAAUAAUCAAUUGCCACUACUAAGUGUUGAGCAAGAUAGAUACUGUGACAUUGUUUGCUAUGCUCUCCGCACGGCACGCUAUAUUCGGGGAUUCCUUGCAGGGCGGCCGACCUUUCAGAUGGGGCAUGAAAUUCGGUUUACAUUAGUAGAAUAUUUUGGAAGAUUUACAGAGCAUGGGGCAAAACUUAAGAUCAUUGAGAUGGAGCUCGCUAUUAUAUAUGAUG
Triticum dicoccoides is the source of this 1121-nucleotide long non-coding RNA. RefSeq lists it as uncharacterized. NCBI's taxonomy places the organism in Eukaryota, Viridiplantae, Streptophyta, Magnoliopsida, Poales, Poaceae. The transcript is spliced from 4 exons. The record is from RefSeq and is a predicted model, not a curated record.